This 409-nucleotide ribosomal RNA is filed under the name uncultured bacterium. RNAcentral's name for it is "bacterial SSU rRNA". It matches the Rfam family "Bacterial small subunit ribosomal RNA", at positions 29 to 426 of the family's 1533-position model. The record is from RNAcentral.
AACGAACGCUGGCGGCGUGCUUAUCACAUGCAAGUCGAACGUGAUUCAGCCUUCGGGCUGAUGAAAGUGGCGCACGGGUGAGUAACACGUGGAUAAUCUACCCGAUGAUCCGGGAUAACACUUCGAAAGGGGUGCUAAUACCGGGUAAGCCACGGACUUUUUGGAGUUUGCGGGAAAAGGUGGGACCUUCGGCCUACUGUCAACGGAUGAGUCCGCGGCCCAUUAGCUAGUUGGUGGGGUAACGGCCUACCAAGGCGACGAUGGGUAGCUGGUCUGAGAGGAUGAUCAGCCACACUGGAACUGAGACACGGUCCAGACUCCUACGGGAGGCAGCAGUGGGGAAUUUUGGCGCAAUGGGCGAAAGCCUGACGCAGCAACGCCGCGUGAGUGAUGAAGGCCUUCGGGUCGU